UACGGAGGGUGCAAACGUUGCUCGGAAUCAUUGGGCGUAAAGCGAGCGUAGGCGGUCUCGUAAGUCGGAUGUGAAAGCCCUCGGCUCAACCGAGGAAGUGCACCCGAAACUGCGAGACUUGAGUGUCGGAGAGGGUGACGGAAUUCCCGGUGUAGAGGUGAAAUUCGUAGAUAUCGGGAGGAACAUCAGUGGCGAAGGCGGUCACCUGGACGAUAACUGACGCUGAGGCUCGAAAGCGUGGGGAGCAAACAGG
This 253-nucleotide ribosomal RNA is filed under the name uncultured bacterium. RNAcentral's name for it is "partial 16S ribosomal RNA". It matches the Rfam family "Bacterial small subunit ribosomal RNA", at positions 524 to 776 of the family's 1533-position model. The record is from RNAcentral.